Molecule: small nucleolar RNA, 66 nt
Organism: Mastomys coucha (southern multimammate mouse)
Lineage: Eukaryota; Metazoa; Chordata; Mammalia; Rodentia; Muridae
Product: small nucleolar RNA SNORD50
Exons: 1
Source: RefSeq, a predicted model, not a curated record
AGUCUAUGAUGAUCCUAACCUGAACCUGAAUUCCUGUUGAAAAACCAUAAUUAUGGAAAAAAAGAA